RNAcentral lists this ribosomal RNA (312 nucleotides) under Triticum aestivum (bread wheat). RNAcentral describes it as "partial small subunit ribosomal RNA". The record is from RNAcentral. Lineage: Eukaryota; Viridiplantae; Streptophyta; Magnoliopsida; Poales; Poaceae.
AUGGCGGAUGCACCUCUUUACAAGCAGCGCCGCAGGUACACCAGGGAGCUCCACGACGUCGACCUCCACGGCAACCACAAGCUCCACGUUGUUUGCACAAGCAAGGGUGAAGACGUGGACAAGAUGCUGUCCAUGCUCAGGAGGAAGCUCGGUGGAGUGCCCCUCAAACUAGUUGGCGUUGAUGUCGAGUACACGCCAAUGGAACUAGACAAAUUCCUCAUGAAUGGUGAGUACACCUUCGUCGGAUUCGCCAUUGAAGGAGACAAAAGCAAGCUGAAGCUAUCUGGUUUGGAGAUCAACUCCGAAAACUAA